AAACGCAUAAACCAGACAAAUGGCAACUUCUUCAGCUGGGGACUAAGGGCAAAUAUUUCCACAGAAACCACCAUUGCGGGGCCUUCGCUGCCCUCAACUUUUACUCCAACCGGCAAUUACUAACCGGUAAACGAACGUUUUCAUAUUUUCAUAUUUUUCCCCUUCCAGCCCCCAACCCCAACCCUUCCUUACCAAAGAGCCUACAUUGCCCUCCUACUCUCAACUAACUCUGUCGGCUCAGCCCAAGCUGACCCGAAAUAUAGGAUUAUUAGAGAAAAUGGUGUACGACUCCGAGCUAAUCAAGAGGCUAAGAGAGUUUUUACGAAAUUCGGACCUCAACACGACGACUACUGGUAUCAUACGUCAGAAGCUGGAGGAAGAUUUCGGCGUCGAUUUAUCAGAUAGGAAGGCGCAGAUAGGAAGGCGUUUAUAAGGGAACAGGUUGAUUUGUUUCUCCAAAGCCAGUUUGAGGAACAUAGCAAAAACGAAGAACUAGAAGUUGGAGAUGAAGAAGAUGAUCUAUUGGUUGACGUUAAAUCAGAGGAAGCCGGCCGCUCUGAUUCCAAGGAGGACGGUGGUGAUGGUGAAGAAGAAGAAGAAG
RNAcentral lists this unclassified non-coding RNA (601 nucleotides) under Hevea brasiliensis (rubber tree). Lineage: Eukaryota; Viridiplantae; Streptophyta; Magnoliopsida; Malpighiales; Euphorbiaceae. The record is from RNAcentral.